Molecule: non-coding RNA, 26 nt
Filed under: Mus musculus (house mouse)
Lineage: Eukaryota; Metazoa; Chordata; Mammalia; Rodentia; Muridae
Source: RNAcentral
UUCCAUGUUGCUAGACAUGACUGGUU